CCUACGGGAGGCAGCAGUGGGGGAUAUUGCACAAUGGGGGAAACCCUGAUGCAGCGACGCCGCGUGGGCGAAGAAGUAUUUCGGUAUGUAAAGCCCUAUCAGCAGGGAAGAAGAAAUUACGGUACCUGAGUAAGAAGCACCGGCUAAAUACGUGCCAGCAGCCGCGGUAAUACGUAUGGUGCAAGCGUUAUCCGGAUUUACUGGGUGGAAAGGGAGCGCAGGCGGCACGGCAAGCCUGAUGUGAAAGCCCGCGGCCCAACCGCGGGACUGCAGUGGGAACUACCGGGCUGGAGUGCCGGAGAGGUAGGCGGAAUUCCUAGUGUAGCGGUGAAAUGCGUAGAUAUUAGGAGGAACACCAGUGGCGAAGGCGGCCUACUGGACGGUGACUGACGCUGAGGCUCGAAAGCGUGGGGAGCAAACAGGAUUAGAUACCCGGGUAGUC
RNAcentral lists this ribosomal RNA (442 nucleotides) under uncultured bacterium. Its description in RNAcentral is "partial 16S ribosomal RNA". It matches the Rfam family "Bacterial small subunit ribosomal RNA", at positions 338 to 795 of the family's 1533-position model. The record is from RNAcentral.